RNAcentral lists this long non-coding RNA (233 nucleotides) under Lathyrus oleraceus (garden pea). RNAcentral's name for it is "Pisum sativum (pea) long non-coding RNA (PSAT_LNC036068)". The record is from RNAcentral. Lineage: Eukaryota; Viridiplantae; Streptophyta; Magnoliopsida; Fabales; Fabaceae.
UUCCUUCUCCAGGUGUCUUAUUAGUUCUUCUUCUGUGUAUCAGCCAAGCUGACUCACCACUAUAACACUCAAGCUAAACUUUUGAGAAGAAUGAAGCAUAUAGAGCAAGAGCAUAGAGAGUUGAAGGAUGAGAUCGCCCGACUUACGGUGCCGAUGGAGUUUGUCACAACUGCUAAAACCAACAGUCUUCGUCUCCUACAACUCAUCCUCCUUAGAGGACUGUCAUUUUCGAG